This 485-nucleotide ribosomal RNA is filed under the name uncultured bacterium. Its description in RNAcentral is "partial 16S ribosomal RNA". It matches the Rfam family "Bacterial small subunit ribosomal RNA", at positions 30 to 507 of the family's 1533-position model. The record is from RNAcentral.
AUUGAACGCUGGCGGCAGGCUUAACACAUGCAAGUCGAGCGGGGAGAUGUAGCUUGCUACAUAUCCUAGCGGCGGACGGGUGAGUAAUGCUUAGGAAUCUGCCUAUUAGUGGGGGACAACAUUCCGAAAGGAAUGCUAAUACCGCAUACGCCCUACGGGGGAAAGCAGGGGAUCUUCGGACCUUGCGCUAAUAGAUGAGCCUAAGUCGGAUUAGCUAGUUGGUGGGGUAAGGGCCUACCAAGGCGACGAUCUGUAGCGGGUCUGAGAGGAUGAUCCGCCACACUGGGACUGAGACACGGCCCAGACUCCUACGGGAGGCAGCAGUGGGGAAUAUUAGACAAUGGGCGCAAGCCUGAUCCAGCAAGGCCGCGUGUGUGAAGAAGGCCUUUUGGUUGUAAAGCACGUUAAGCGAGGAGGAGGCUCCUUUAGUUAAUACCUAAAGAGAGUGGACGUUACUCGCAGAAUAAGCACCGGCUAACUCUGUG